This 263-nucleotide long non-coding RNA is filed under the name Mytilus galloprovincialis (Mediterranean mussel). Lineage: Eukaryota; Metazoa; Mollusca; Bivalvia; Mytilida; Mytilidae. The record is from RNAcentral.
CAGAUUUCAAUAAUAGGUUAUACAAUACUGGUAUUAUAUUUUCUGUGAGAGAGUCAUUUGUUCAAACUUUGAAUGAAGGUUUUCUUUUUUUCAGUUUAUGUACUUGCAUAGUCAUAAGUGCAUUAUAAGUAUGUAAAAUUGUACAAUACAGUUAUUUUAAAUUACUCAAGUGCUUACAUCGGAGGAAGAAAGUUACGUAAGAGACUUUAUUAAGACACUCGGGCAGGAUAUCAUUUCAACUUUAUCUGUGCAAAGUUACAUAA